Molecule: ribosomal RNA, 467 nt
Filed under: uncultured bacterium
Lineage: Bacteria
Description: partial 16S ribosomal RNA
Rfam family: Bacterial small subunit ribosomal RNA
Source: RNAcentral
GAUGAACGCUGGCGGAAUGCUUAACACAUGCGAGUCGACCUGAAUUUGGGUUUUUUACUUAGGUUGGGGUGGGGGACGGGUGUGUAAGGCGUAAAGAACUUGCAUCCCAGCUUAGGAUAACCUUUGCAAACGAAUGCUAAUACCUAAUAUUAGGAUAAUAGGGCAUCCUAUAAUUAUGAAAGCUAUAAGCGCUGUGAGAGAGCUUUGCGUCCCAUUAGCUAGUUGGAGAGGUAACGGCUCACCAAGGCGAUGAUGGGUAGCCGGCCUGAGAGGGUGAUCGGCCACAAGGGGACUGAGACACGGCAGCUACGGCGACGGGAGGCAGAAGUGCGGAAGAUUGGAGAAGGGACCGAGAGUGUGAUACAGCAAUUCUGUGUGCACGAUGAACUUUUUCGGAAGGGAAAGUGCUUUCAGUUGGGAAGAAGUAAAUGACGGUACCAACAGAAGAAGUGACGGCUAAAUACGUG